AGGUUGAAGGCCACCUGUUUCGCCAGAUGCUGUUUGUAUUCACAGCACUGAUGGUGGGUCUCCCUGCGGGGAGGAGCCCGUAUCAGGCCGACGCCGUCAGUUUCCACGGACAUGGACCAGAACGGCCUGCUUGGGAUCUACUGGAGCACCAGCCCUGAACCCAUGAAAUGCACUUCACCAUGACAGCGAAGUUGAGAAUAGCUAGAAGAAACACCAUUUAAAUCUGCCUUGAACUACUGAACAUUUUUAAAUACUCUAGCAUUGGCCGAUACCCGGAUACCUGGCCACAGUGAUGGACUCGUAGCUGAUUUAAUUGGACGGCAGUGCCUCGCUUUACACAUCUGUUUUUGAAGCUGAUUGAAUGGUCCUGCCUUGAUUUGAACAACUUGCUAAAUUUUGCUGGAAGUAGAACACGCAUACAGAACAGAAAUCAUCACCGUAUGGUCAACCAAGUGGCCACACUCGAGUCACCAGGACUGGAAUCCACGGCACAGAGGUUUGCGACUCCCUCCUUCUCAGGAGCCUUCUCAGUCCUACUUUUUUUGUUGUUGUUGCUUUUUAGGGCUGCUCCCUUGGCAUAUGGACGUUCCCAGCCUAGGGGUCAAAUCAGAACUACAGCUUCUGGCCUACACCACAGCCACAGCAACACAGGAUCUGAGCCUCCUCUGCGACCUACACAGCAGCUCACAGCAAUGCCAGAUCCUUAACCCACUGAGAAAGGCCAAGGAUCGAACAGGCCUCCUCAUGGAUACUGGUCAGGUUCAUUACUGCUGAGCCACAAUGGGAACUCCUCAGUCCCACUUCUGAUCCCCCCAUCCUCGACCCCAGAGGUAACCUCUAUCAUGGCUUCUGACCUCAUGGAUUACAUUUACGUCUUUUAAGACAUGGAAUCACGUGGUCGUUACUGCUUUCUGCCCAGUUUCUUUUUCAGAAUGUUAUGUGCGAUUAGAUUAUGUGCGAUGACAUCAGCAAUCGGCUGCCUACAGCCUGAGGGCCAAAUCUGACUCGUCAUCUGUUUUUAUAUGGUUUGUGAGCUAAGAAUGGAUUUCACAUUUUCAAAAAAAUGGUUGGGAAAAAAAUCAAAAGAAGGAUAUUUUGUGACAUGAGAAAAGCGUAUGAAAUAUGCAACAUGCAUCAAUAAUGCUUUAUUGGAACUUAGCCACAUCCAUUUGGCUGCCUGCUUUAGCCCCUCUAAUUGCAGAAUUGAGUAGACUCGACAAAGACCACGUGGCCCAAAAAGACCAAAAGAUUUGCUCUCUGGCUCUUUAUAAAAAAAAAAAAAAAAAAAAAUUGCUGACUCUGUAUCUAUAUUGUUUCGUGUACCUGUAAUUGUCCGUUUCCAUGAUUCUGUAGUAUUUCAUUGUGAACGGAGUACACCACGAUUCAUAUGACCAUUCUGUUUAUUGUCAAGUUCCCAGUUUUUGGCCUUUAUGUGGAGUGCUGCUGUGAACAUUUCUUGUGCAAGUCUUUUAGUAAACAAGUGUUUGGUAAACAUUUCUGUUGGCUAUAGAUGUAGGAGAGAAAUAGCUUUGAUUACUCUUCUUUUUAAUGGGUUGAUUUGAUGAGUGUAAAUUUUAUUUUAUUUUAUUUUAUUUUAUUUUUUUUAUUAUUUUGUCUGCAUACGUGACAUGUGGAAGUUCCUGGGCCAGGGAUCAAACCCGUGCAACAGCAGCGACCCACACCACUGCAGUGACAACCCUGGAUUCUUAACCCUCUGUGCCAGAAGAGAACUCUAACAAGUGUUUUUAAUUUUUAAGUCUUACUUUUCCUACUAGGAAGUAAAGCUUGGUGAUAGCAUCAUGUGUUGAAACUCUGGAACAAGGCUUACUUUCAAAAAAGUAAUUAGUCUUGCAAAAUAGAGCAUCUGUAGAAUCACAAUUCAUUAAUGGAUUACUGUUCUUCCAUCUCAAGGAUGUGGGAAGCAUGCCUGACGUUCACUGCUUUGGGGAAGGGUGCCAUCAUUUAAUUUCUUAUACUGAAGCCAUAUUGUCCAAAGGCCUCUUAUCUUUAUGCGACAAAACAGGUCUGGCAGAAUUAGGAGUUUUUCCAAUGUCGCUUUCUGCUUUGAUUGACUUCUGUUUAUCUCUAGCUGUUCUGGUUUUCUUGCUGGGAAGCAGAUGACUACAACUCUACAUCCCAAUAAGAUCUCUAGCCUAGAGUAGCAUAUGUCAUUUUGCAUUGAAACAGUGUGCUGAAAUGUUCCUUCUGGGACUGCAGACGUUGUACGUGGCCACAGCAGUGGAGCUCAGAGAUUCUCCCUAAGGAUCUGCCUUCGUGUGCACUGUCAGUAUUGUUUAGCAGCUCCGGUCCUGCAUCGGUUCCUGCAACGCUGGUCCUUUUCUAUUUCCUGUCCCACUUUUGCAGGCAAAGGCACUGACAGGGUUGGGAGAAGAACGUCAGGAUUCCCUAAGAUCCACCUGUCUUUCAGGUUUGCUUGGCACUGGCUGACAAAUGGCUUAAUAUUCUUUCUGGGGCUUCUCAAAGAACUUUUUCUAGCCAGCCCACCCCACUUUACUGGGGGUAAAGUCCUGUUUGUUUUGAACUUCCCUUCUGGUUGUGCCUUGUGCAAUUAUCAGGCUUAAGGAUUGUCACAAGGGAAGACUUCAGCAGUUGCUUUAGCAGUUCUUUUGGAAGACAGUUGGAUUCAAUGGAGUUCCUGUCGAGAUGCAGUGGUUAACGAAUCCGACUAGGAACCAUGAGGUUGCGGGUUCGGUCCCUGCCCUUGCUCAGUGGGUUAAGGAUUCGGCAUUGCCGUGAGCUGUGGUGUAGGUUACAGACGCGACUCGGAUCCCGUGUUGCUGUGGCUCUGGCGUAGGCCGGAGGCUACAGCUCCGAUUUGACCCCUAGCCUGGGAACCUCCAUGUGCCGUGGGAGUGGCCCAAGAGAUAGCAGAAAGACAAAAAUAAAUAAAU
Molecule: long non-coding RNA, 2912 nt
Filed under: Sus scrofa (pig)
Lineage: Eukaryota; Metazoa; Chordata; Mammalia; Artiodactyla; Suidae
Description: lncRNA (ENSSSCG00005040290.1)
Source: RNAcentral